CGGAGCUGUUUUAAGCAGACGCUUUUCUGCUCUCUUUUACUAGUCACACUGUAUUACAAAGCACUUGUGCUGAAAAUGUUCCAGUUUCGAAUGGUGAUUCUCACCUCCUCAUGACAACUCAGACUCCUCAGGCAGUUAUGAGUUCAUUCAGGGAUGCAUUCUGGGGGCCUACAGGGUUUGAAGAGCUACGUCGCCUUUUGAAGCAGGGCGCUGAUUUUUCUAAGGAAGUGGUCAGCAUAUUGCAGGAGCGGUCCGAGUUGGAAGCUGUGCAUGCUAAGAGCUUGGCAAAGCUCUCUCAGCGCCUUGCCAGGGCAGCCAGGGAUGCCAUUGGCACAAGUGCCACAGCUUGGCAGGAAGUGGCCACACAGUUGGAACGGGAGGCCCAGCUUCACAGAGGUCUGUCGCGAGGCCUGUCGGAGGGAGUGUGUGGGCCUCUGCGAGCCUCCUGCGAGGCCCAGGCAGGACGGCGCAAGGCUCUCGAGGCAGCUGUGGAGCGCCGUGCACGUGCCGUGCGGGAUCGUCGUGCCCUUCAGGAUCGGACCAAGCGCCACGCCUACCAUUGUGCCCGGAUCAAUGAGCAGGCCCAAGGGCGGGUGCUCGAACCCCGCUCGCAUCGGGGCAUGCGCCUCCUCACUGAUAGAGACCUCCACAAGCUGGAGAGCAAGCGGCGCAAGGCGGAGAAUGCUCUGACCAAGGCCGAGGGCGAAUAUUACGGCGCGUGCAUGUCGGCUGAGCAGGCACGGCAGGAGUGGGAGACGCUGCUGUUCCAGACUGCCGGCUGGCUGCAGGCUCUGGAGCAGGAGCGCCUGGAGGCACUGCACGCAGCAUUGUCACGAUAUGCCCAGCACUUGUUGCACAAAGCCCCACAAGCGCUGCAGUGUGCUGAGUGUGUGCAGGCACAGACAGCCCAUGUGGAUGCCAAGCAGGACAUUGAGGAGGCUGUGCGCCUUAGAGCCACUGCACCCAACGUGCCUGAGCAGCUGCUACCAGAUUUCUAUGCGGAGGAUCUGUCAAGUCCCAUGCAGCCCCAGAGGCGCAAAGAGGCCCUUGAGAGGCUGCUACAGCUGCUACAAAAGGACCUUGACACAGAGCGGCGAGGAAAACAAGGUGUGGAGUCUUUAGCCCAGGCUUUCAGGGAAUCUCCUCGCUUUGGUGAUGAGGAGGCCCAGCUACGUGUCCAAGAGAAGCUCCAACAGCUGCGGCAAAGCCUGGCAUUUUUGGAGGCAUCGCGCCACAAGGUGCAGUGCUGUCUGGCAGGCCUGGAGGGUCAACCAAGGCCACCACAUCCACUGGCUCCACAUUUAGAGCAGCGCAGGGACCGACAGGGUUUGGCGCAGACAGUGCUUAAGAUUCCACCCUGGCUACAGCGGCGUUCCUCAAGUGCCGAGGAGUGGGACCGUGGGGCAGCCGACGGGGGUGCCGAAGUCCCCGUGUCCCUUGAGACUGAGCAGGAAGAAGAAGAGCAGCCAUAUGCUAAUGUGCUGCCCUCACAGUGCCGAGCGUUGUACGACUACCAGGCCACCAUGGAUGAUGAGCUCAGCCUGCGCUCAGGUGACCUGGUGACAGUGCAUAGCCGUGCUGAAGAUGGCUGGUGGCACGGCGAGAAAGAUGGCCACUGGGGCGUCUUUCCUGCCAGCUACGUCCAGGAGCUUGGUCCAAAGCCCGGAUAGAGAGUCAACGACAUCUUUUGAUUGAACACUUUCAACAUUUGGUGCCACAUGGAGCUAUGUUCAUUAUGCCACUAGCUGAAUAAAAUCAGUCGUAGGUUUACUCUGCAAAGACAAGCAAUUGCAAAUGGCAACGAGAAGCUCCGUGACAGGAACGGCUGCACCUGCCAUGGUGGGCAGCCUUCGCCUGCAUCCCUGGAGCAUGUCGAGGGUUCCUGUGGAGCCACGUUGUUGGCCACAGCUGAAAGGCCUUUGGGUGACAGAAAAAGUGAGAAACAAAGGCCACCUUGCCAGACGUCCGUACAAGCAGGUGUCCAGCUACAAUUACCUCUGUAUUUACCCUCGCUGUCAAGCCCCAGCAGAAGACUGCAGCAGCGCUGAGGCUGGCGUGGGUCCAGUAGUGUCAGGCAGAUCCGGUAGCCACGCCCUGCGAAUGAACAAUUUGUCUUCAGCGCACUCAAGCGGGCACAACAUAGUGCACUAAAGUCUAGCACUCAUGACAAAGCUACCCUUUUCAAUUACACAAAGGCAGUUCCACAAGAGAUCAAGACAGGUCGUACAUUUCAGUUUUUAACCUCUUUCAUAACUUUAUAUAUCCUGCACAAUCAGUCAAAAGGACAAAACAAAAUAUGACUUCCCCAGAAAGCAACCAGUUACAGGAAAAAUUGUGAAACAGUAUCAGGUGGUAGGACCAUUUUCACAGAAAGUGUUUUCUUAAUGUCAGUCAUGUUGCAAGCGAAAGAAGGAAACCACAACAAUCAAAUUUUUUAUGUAGCCAGCAUAAGUAAUGUAGCCAGCAUAAUUGCCUUCAUUAAGCAAAAGUGUACCAUUGGUAUUAAAGCAUUAAUUAACUGAAAAGGAUAUUUCUUCAACGCAUUAUUAUUUAUUUUAUUUUCAUUUAUUUCAUACUGCAGAUCGUGUUAUAGACCCAAGCAGAUCAAAUACAGAAAUUGAUAACAUAGGGUCAAAGGUAGCAAGUAAAAACAAAAAACAAGAACAAAAAAAUCAGCAUCACAAUACGUGGUCAGUUAUGUUGGUGAACUCCACUCUCUAAUGCUACGCAGGAAAAAAGAAAAUUGGAAUGUGUCAGUGCGAGCAAAGUGAGGGGUUAGCAAACCGGGUUGAUGGUGAAGCAUAUGGUUAGAAACUAUACAUAGGGUGCAGGAUCAAGCACCAAUUCUUUAUUUAUUAGUAAGAAAAGAAACUCUCGACGCAUAUUCUUUCUUGUUUCAAGGAAUUGGUUACUGCCAUUUUUCAUUAGCUCAGACGGUGAAUCGAACGGUGAAAAUAUUGAAUAAAUAAACCUUACUGCUUUCCUUUGAA
This 2990-nucleotide unclassified non-coding RNA is filed under the name Dermacentor andersoni. RNAcentral describes it as "nostrin-like". Lineage: Eukaryota; Metazoa; Arthropoda; Arachnida; Ixodida; Ixodidae. The record is from RNAcentral.